This 504-nucleotide ribosomal RNA is filed under the name uncultured bacterium. RNAcentral's name for it is "bacterial SSU rRNA". It matches the Rfam family "Bacterial small subunit ribosomal RNA", at positions 107 to 607 of the family's 1533-position model. The record is from RNAcentral.
UGAGUAAUGUCUGGGAAACUGCCUGAUGGAGGGGGAUAACUACUGGAAACGGUAGCUAAUACCGCAUAACGUCGCAAGACCAAAGAGGGGGACCUUCGGGCCUCUUGCCAUCAGAUGUGCCCAGAUGGGAUUAGCUAGUGGGUGGGGUAAUGGCUCACCUAGGCGACGAUCCCUAGCUGGUCUGAGAGGAUGACCAGCCACACUGGAACUGAGACACGGUCCAGACUCCUACGGGAGGCAGCAGUGGGGAAUAUUGCACAAUGGGCGCAAGCCUGAUGCAGCCAUGCCGCGUGUGUGAAGAAGGCCUUCGGGUUGUAAAGCACUUUCAGCGAGGAGGAAGGUGGUGAGCUUAAUACGCUCAUCAAUUGACGUUACUCGCAGAAGAAGCACCGGCUAACUCCGUGCCAGCAGCCGCGGUAAUACGGAGGGUGCAAGCGUUAAUCGGAAUUACUGGGCGUAAAGCGCACGCAGGCGGUUUGUUAAGUCAGAUGUGAAAUCCCCGGG